Molecule: long non-coding RNA, 2565 nt
Organism: Peromyscus maniculatus bairdii (prairie deer mouse)
Lineage: Eukaryota; Metazoa; Chordata; Mammalia; Rodentia; Cricetidae
Source: RefSeq, a predicted model, not a curated record
AGUUACUGUGACAGUUUCCAUUCUGCAGUGACAGAGCUAGCACACAAAAAAGUGGGUGGCCAUGUCCUUAGAGCUAGGAAGUGGCAGAGAAAGGAUUCUGCCAGGCAAUGCCACUCCAAAGUCCACGCUCUUAAAAUCAAAUGUGUGUCGGAAAGGGUUUCAUGAAAUGAAUUAGGAUUCAUCCCGGGAAUGGAAUGUCUGCUGUGGAUACCACUCUAUAUAAAUAAAACACUGAUGGCCAGUGACCAGGCAGGAAGUAUAGGCGGGACAAAGAGAGAGGAGAAUUGGGGAAACAGGAAGAAGGAGGAGAGACACUGCAGCCACCGCCAGGACAAGCAGCAUGUGAAGACGCCGCUAGGUGUAGCCGUGGAAUAGAUUCAGAACAGAUGUGCACGACGGUGCAUGGAGUGUGCCCUUGUCUUCCUUUCACCUCCUGCGAGAUGGCUGAAGUGAUGAUGGAAGCCGGAGCAGCAGCACCAAGGACAGUAGACAAGGUCUGGCCGUGGAGCACAGAUUGAGUAUGACAGAACCCCACUGAGACUUCAUCUCCACGCCAAUCAUUGCUGUCCAAAUGAGCUGUCAGUACCAGGAGCGAGUCGGGGACACCGGGGGCCAGUGCUUGCUGGCUGAUGUGGGACAGCCACUGGGUGACCGCAUACAAUCACUACUCCUCAGAGCAGGCAACUGUGGAAGAAAAGAAGCAAGAAAUUGAUCUGCAAGCUCAUGUCCAUCCGCUGCCUCAUUCAUGAAAGCCCGACCUUCAUGGCACUGAAUUCAAUUUUUGAAGAAGUCAGAAAAAAAAAUGCCAGUGUUAAAAGGCAGAGAAGAAUCUGCCAAGGCGGGUACAACAAGACUCACCCAGCAGAUGUUGGCACUCCAUAUCACAGCAGAUCAGAUUCAGCACUGUGGCAAAGGAGACAAUAGGAAGAAACAGCUUUAAAAACACCCCAUGGGGUGGCAUAGUGGAAGAUCCAUAUCCCCAUGCACACACCCCACCUCGUAGAUUGUGCAGCUCCAGGCACAAACCCUAUGGAGUUCGGGUGGUGAUGUUGUGUGGGUGAUGAGUUCAUCAGUUAUAACAAAUGUGCCAUUACGGUGGGGGACGUUGAUGAUGGAGGAGGCUGCUACGUCAGGGAAGGCAUAUGUAGGGAACUCCUACAGCAUGCGCUUCACGUCGCUGCGACGCUCAAACUGCUCUAAACUUUAAAGUCAUUUGAAGAAAACACAAUUUGAAACUACCAAUUUAACUUUUAAAAUUGCAACUGUCCAUAUAUUUAUCGAAAGACACUGGAGGGAGAAACACGGGAACCACAGUGUUUGAAAAAUGUGUAUUUUUUUGAAUUUCUGGGAUCUGCCAUCAUACUUUCUCCCCCCACCACCACCACAUUGUCCUAAUCAAGAAUCUGUUUGAAGUCGUUUGAGUAAGCAGAACGAGCAUCUCUAGAUUCCACGCUCACAAAAUUCACUUGGCUCCCAGAAGAUAACUGCCUGUCAGCAUCAAGCUCAGCUGAUGCAUAACUGUGACAACAUCACACACCAAAUUAGCGAACUGGCCGGCUUCAAAUCCCUCUCCCAGCGCCUGCUCUUGUCAAGUAUUUAGUUGCGAAUGGAAACGAUAAGUUAUUCCUCUUCCGUCACUUGGAAUAAACACUUACAAGCUCUCUGAUACUGCACUGUGGGAGUAACGCCUUCACUCUUUUGUGGAGCUGCUGGGGACUUAAAGGAGCUGAGGUCAGGGGAUAUGUUAUGUGAGAUAGCUGUGAAUUUCUGGAAAUGUUCAAGGUAAACUAAUUUAGCACAAGGGGAAGAAAGGGCGUGAGAAAGAGUGCUGAAGUUAGACAGAGUUUGGCGUUGGAUUUUGACCCCACUUAAAAACUUCGAAAUUAAGCAAGUCUCUCUUUUUCUGAGUCUGUUUUCCAUCGUUCAGAUGGAAAUAAAAGUAUCAGCUCCACAGAACUGCUCUGAGAACUGAAAUUAUGCCUAUUAAGAGCUAGCCCACUGCCUCGCACAUCGCUAAAUGGCUUACAGACUUGGUCCAGCUAGUCCAACAAUGGCUGUCUACCAACCGAAGGUCCAAUAAUCCAGUAGUUGUUCAGUCCAUGAGACUGAAUGUCUCAAGUGGUCUUCAGUAUGUGCUGGAACCCAGAAGAUGUAGGCUCUAAUAUCAGUGAAGGAAUGGACUUGCUAAUGAGAGUAAGAGCAAGCCGGCAAAGAGAAUGAAUUUCCUUUUUUCAUGUCCUUAUACUAUAUAAGCUGCAAGCAAAAGCUGUGGCCCAGAUUAGAGGUGGGUCUUCUCAACUAAAGAUCCAGAUUACAACUGGGUCCUCCCACUUUAAAUGAUUUAAUUAAGGAAAACUCCUUCAUAGGUGCCCCCAGCCACUUGGGUUUUAGUUAAUUCUAGAUGUAGUCAAGUUGACAGCCAAUAAUGGCUAUCACAGUCACUAUACAGAAAAAUGAUCAAUAAUCAAAAAGUAUUUUUUUUUACUUUAAGAAUAUUGUUGUCGUUCAGUGGUGGCACACAUAGUUCAUCUCAGUACUUGGGAGGCAGAGCCAGGUGGAUCUCUG